AAAUGCAGUUGAUCUGUAUGUGUCUGUACAGGCUUGUGUUGUGGAUUGAGGAAGUCACAUCAACACGAAAUUGCAAUCUAUAUGAUAUACCGAAAAUACCCUUGUCAUUCAUUCAUUCAUUCCCCCAUUGACCACUCACCCAACUCCUUCUAUUCGCCAUCCUUAGGGUUUUCUCUGUUUCUUCCAUUUCCUCUCUUUCACACUUAACAUUCAUCUCCAAGAAUUAGUCUUACUCCCUCAAAGCUUCGUUUUUUUUACUCAAAAACCCUUUCCGGGUAUUAUCCUUUCCAUUAACCCAUUUUUCUUUCAUUUUCUGCUCCCAGUUUCGAUCUGAUCCCGUGCUGAAUUUGAAGCCGGUCCUCCACUCCUUCAAAUUUCGGCCGAAGCUCCGAAAAGGGUAUGUUUUCUGCCUCUUUCUUCGGCUCUAGGGUUAACUUUGAUGCUGCUGGUGAGAUUGGUUUUUAUUUGGAAUGAAAGGAAUUGGGAAUCUUGGGUGUCUAUUGGGAGUUCAGGAUGCUUAGAUUACAGCUCAUGCUUGGUUUUGUUCAACUAGUGUAUUAGAAUUGUUGAAAUUAACCGGGUUCUUUAGGUUUGGAUUUUGAAGUUGCGGGUGUCGUUGGAAGCUUAUGAGCGUUUGUUUGGUUUGCUUCAAGGGGAAAACAAGUGGUGAUUUCUCAGUAUAGUAAGGUUUGAUUUGGAAAUGGACAACUCCAAAAACAGGCAUAAUGAUAGUCUGGGUGUUAACAAGAUGGGAAAAAAUAUAAGGAAGAGCCCUUUACAUCAGCCCAAUUUUGCUAACAACGCUGCUAGACAACAGCCUCAGCCUCAGGUUUACAACAUUAGCAAGAAUGAAUUUCGGGAUAUUGUUCAGCAGCUUACUGGAUCACCCUCCCAGGAUCAUCCACCUAGACCUCCACACAAUCCACCGAAGCCGCAGAGCAUGCGACUGCAGAAAAUUAGACCUCCCCCGUUAACACCAAUCAAUCGACCUCGCUUGCCCCCGCCAAUGCCGGUGCCUGCUGCCGCCCCUCAUCCAGUUCCUCACAAUAAUGCCAUGCCAAGACCUGCUCAGUUUGGACAACCGUUGCCUAGUCCUGGGGAUAUAUGGUCUAAUACGACCGAGUCACCCAUAUCUGCUUACAUGCGUUACCUUCAGAAUUCAAUAAUGGAUCCAAGUUCAAGGGGUAACCAGGUUCAGCCUCAACCACAUCCGUACCCUCAACAUCAAAUACCCGGCAAUGUCCAGCCUCAUCCCCCUCCCUCGUCUGCUAUGUUUCCUAAUCCUCACAUGCCCAUGUUCCCUUCCCCGAGAUUUAAUGGUCCUGUUCCACCAAUGAAUGCUACUAACUCUCCCGUGCCUACUCUUCUUCCUUCACCACAAGCAAAUGGUCCUCCUCCCCCUUUACUUUCUCCAACCUCUCAAUUCCUCCUGCCUUCUCCAACUGGUUACAUGAAUUUGCUAUCUCCUCGCUCACCUUAUCCACUUUUGUCACCUGGCAUUCAGUUCCCGUCUCCGCUUACACCAAAUUUUCCGUUCUCGUCCACGGGGCAGUCAGGGAUUUUAGGUCCUGGCCCACAACCUCCUCCUUCUCCUGGCCUUGUGUUUCCGUUAUCACCUUCAGGCUUUUUUCCCAUAUCAAGUCCCAGGUGGAGAGACCACUAGGCUUCUUAAUUCUUGUUACAAGUUUAAUAUGGUUUGCUUCUUUCUAACUGAAGAGGUUCUAGGCUUGUUCUUUGGCAUGUGAUGUACAAUCAGGUUGUAAGAGCUCUUUUUGGCUAUCUGUAGUGUUCAUUUCUCAUUUCUUUGUUUCUCUUUUGUUGAAAACUGUAAUGGUUGCAGUCCUUUUACUUUGACAAGUUUUACAUUAGGCAAUACAUAUUGAAGAUCAGACAACUCAAUUGGGCAGUUGGACAGGAGCUGUAAGAUGGAAGACUGAUCUGUAGCUCAAAAGGAAGUAGGAUUACAGACAAUAUUUGUUGUCUUUAGCUGCCUCUUUUGGGGGACAAAGGAGCCACACGUAAAGGCCCAAGAAAAAUUAUACUAGAUUGCUUCAUCUUUCUUUGGACUUGUUUUCAGGUAAAAUGAUUUUCCUUGGGAUUGACUGUUUAUGCUUUACCCAUAUGUUAUUCAGUACAAAGGAGUACGUUUUUAAUUUGGAUUCUGCCUUUGGAGGGAGUAUGUAGGGGAGAGAAUAAUAUGGCUGACUACUUGACUGAAUCAUUUAUGAUGAUUUUGUUGUUUCUUCUUUUGUUAAGCAUUUAGAAAUCACUAGAUGUAACUUAACCACUAGGCAUAUUAUCAUCUACUCUUGAUCAUCCCUUGGAGACCCUGCUUAUGUUCUCAUUCUUUUGCUUAUUAAAUUAAGUUUUAUCUACCUCAGAAUAUGCUUCUCUCCCGCAAACUCAUGGGGGGCAUGUGUAUAAUAUCCAAGCCUGAAGAUAGAUUACUCAGUUCUACGUCAUGUGUUGAGAAGAAGCAUUAGUUAGUUUUGUGGCCUAACAGGUUUUUGACUGUGAACGUCUUUCCUCUAUCUGAUAAAGGAUCGGUUUGUUUACUGUUGUCUUUUCACCAUCAUGCAUUCCUUCUAGGUCUGACUUUGACUAUUUGUUCUGCAUCUUCCGCUUCCCGUUUCCUUAUAUCGUUGACAGAGCGGAGGGCCAGUUCGUUCAUGAAAUUUAUAUUGAAUAAACUUGCCAACAUUUUGGAUGUUU
Molecule: RNA transcript, 2712 nt
Organism: Vigna angularis (adzuki bean)
Lineage: Eukaryota; Viridiplantae; Streptophyta; Magnoliopsida; Fabales; Fabaceae
Gene name: protein HAIKU1
Exons: 2
Source: RefSeq, a predicted model, not a curated record